RNAcentral lists this unclassified non-coding RNA (336 nucleotides) under soil metagenome. Its description in RNAcentral is "partial contains 5.8S ribosomal RNA, internal transcribed spacer 2, and large subunit ribosomal RNA". The stretch from base 1 to 120 matches the Rfam family "5.8S ribosomal RNA", at positions 35 to 154 of the family's 154-position model. The record is from RNAcentral.
GAUGAAGAACGCAGCGAAAUGCGAUAAGUAGUGUGAAUUGCAGAAUUCAGUGAAUCAUCGAAUCUUUGAACGCACAUUGCGCCCCUUGGUAUUCCAUGGGGCAUGCCUGUUCGAGCGUCAUUUGUACCCUCAAGCACUGCUUGGUGUUGGGUGUUUGUCCCGCUUUGCGCGUGGACUCGCCUUAAAGCAAUUGGCAGCCGGCAGAUUGGCCUGGAUCGCGAGCACAUUUUGCGACCUUGUCAUAACUGUUUGGCACCCAUCAAGACUAUUUUUUGCUCUUGACCUCGGGUCAGGUAGGGAUACCCGCUGAACUUAAGCAUAUCAAUAAGCGGAGGA